This 450-nucleotide ribosomal RNA is filed under the name uncultured bacterium. Its description in RNAcentral is "partial 16S ribosomal RNA". It matches the Rfam family "Bacterial small subunit ribosomal RNA", at positions 354 to 796 of the family's 1533-position model. The record is from RNAcentral.
GUGGGGAAUUUUGGACAAUGGGCGCAAGCCUGAUCCAGCAAUGCCGCGUGUGUGAAGAAGGCCUUCGGGUUGUAAAGCACUUUUGGCAGGAAAGAAAUAGUGCGUGCUAAUACCAUGCGCGAAUGACGGUACCUGCAGAAUAAGCACCGGCUAACUACGUGCCAGCAGCCGUGGUAAGACGUAGGGUGCAAGCGUUAAUCGGAAUUACUGGGCGUAAAGCGUGCGCAGGCGGUUUUGUAAGACAGGUGUGAAAUCCCCGGGCUAAACCUGGGAACUGCACUUGUGACUGCAAGGCUAGAGUGUGUCAGAGGGAGGUGGAAUUCCGCGUGUAGCAGUGAAAUGCGUAGAGAUGCGGAGGAACACCGAUGGCGAAGGCAGCCUCCUGGGAUAACACUGACGCUCAGGCACGAAAGCGUGGGGAGCAAACAGGAUUAGAUACCCGAGUAGUCC